GCAAGUCGAACGGGAAAUACUUUAUUGAAGCUUCGGCCGAUUUAAUUUAUUGGUAGUGGCGGACGGGUGAGUAACGCGUGGGUAACCUGCCUUAUACUGGGGGAUAACAGCCAGAAAUGACUGCUAAUACCGCAUAAGCGCACAGAACCGCAUGGUUCCGUGUGAAAAACUCCGGUGGUAUAAGAUGGACCCGCGUUGGAUUAGCUAGUUGGCAGGGCAGCGGCCUACCAAGGCGACGAUCCAUAGCCGGCCUGAGAGGGUGAACGGCCACAUUGGGACUGAGACACGGCCCAGACUCCUACGGGAGGCAGCAGUGGGGAAUAUUGCACAAUGGGGGAAACCCUGAUGCAGCGACGCCGCGUGAAGGAAGAAGUAUCUCGGUAUGUAAACUUCUAUCAGCAGGGAAGAUAAUGACGGUACCUGACUAAGAAGCCCCGGCUAACUACGUGCCAGCAGCCGCGGUAAUACGUAGGGGGCAAGCGUUAUCCGGAUUUACUGGGUGUAAAGGGAGCGUAGACGGCGCAGCAAGUCUGAUGUGAAAGGCAGGGGCUUAACCCCUGGACUGCAUUGGAAACUGCUGUGCUUGAGUGCCGGAGGGGUAAGCGGAAUUCCUAGUGUAGCGGUGAAAUGCGUAGAUAUUAGGAGGAACACCAGUGGCGAAGGCGGCUUACUGGACGGUAACUGACGU
This 688-nucleotide ribosomal RNA is filed under the name uncultured Lachnospiraceae bacterium. RNAcentral's name for it is "bacterial SSU rRNA". It matches the Rfam family "Bacterial small subunit ribosomal RNA", at positions 57 to 746 of the family's 1533-position model. Lineage: Bacteria; Bacillati; Bacillota; Clostridia; Lachnospirales; Lachnospiraceae. The record is from RNAcentral.